RNAcentral lists this long non-coding RNA (154 nucleotides) under Anser brachyrhynchus (Pink-footed goose). RNAcentral's name for it is "lncRNA (ENSABRG00000021970.1)". Lineage: Eukaryota; Metazoa; Chordata; Aves; Anseriformes; Anatidae. The record is from RNAcentral.
GGCAGAUGAAAAAACAGAAUGGCAGAGAGAAAGGUGAAGGGAUAAAGUUCUUUCCAACACUGCGAUCGCAUGGUGCUACAGUGAAUAAGGGGCUCAUGUGGAGAGAAGGAGAGCUUUUCUGGAUUUUGAAGGCAGCAAGUUAAGGACUGCGAGG